ACGGAAGGCAGCAGUGAGGAAUAUUGGUCAAUGGGCGAGAGCCUGAACCAGCCAAGUAGCGUGAAGGAUGACUGCCCUACGGGUUGUAAACUUCUUUUAUACGGGAAUAAAAAAGGCCACGCGUGGCCUCUUGCAUGUACCGUAUGAAUAAGCAUCGGCUAAUUCCGUGCCAGCAGCCGCGGUAAUACGGAAGAUGCGAGCGUUAUCCGGAUUUAUUGGGUUUAAAGGGAGCGUAGGCCGUGCUUUAAGCGUGUUGUGAAAUGUAGGCGCCCAACGUCUGCACUGCAGCGCGAACUGGAGCACUUGAGUACGCAGGAAGUAGGCGGAAUUCGUCGUGUAGCGGUGAAAUGCUUAGAUAUGACGAAGAACUCCGAUUGGGAAGCCAGCUUACUGUAGCGCCACUGACGCUGAUGCUCGAAAGCGUGGGUAUCGAACAGGAUUAGAUACCCUGGUA
RNAcentral lists this ribosomal RNA (454 nucleotides) under uncultured Prevotella sp. Its description in RNAcentral is "bacterial SSU rRNA". It matches the Rfam family "Bacterial small subunit ribosomal RNA", at positions 341 to 792 of the family's 1533-position model. Lineage: Bacteria; Pseudomonadati; Bacteroidota; Bacteroidia; Bacteroidales; Prevotellaceae. The record is from RNAcentral.